CUUGCCUAAUUUAAUAACAGCAUACAGCAUCUUGAAUCUUUGCAGUGGUUGUUCUGUUCCUCCUAAAGAAUGUCUGGGAUGUUGACACAGAGUUUUAUUUACUUUGUUGUGCUGCAAUGUCCGGGCACCAAAGGUCCACCACCUAAUUUUGCCCAAAAUGAUCUCAUCACCAUCUGGCGCCGGAUCCCGGCAUAGCUGCGUGCUACGGAGUCAUCGGGCUGCCACGGAGCGCUGCGGUACCGCAAGAUCCCGACGUGCAACUGUCACAGCGUCAUGACAUCAGAACCGGGCUGUAUCGUGUCAUGACACCAGGCCCUGAUGUACCAGAGCAGCAUCCCACUGUUAUGGUGCAACAUCCUGGUACCAGAAACGAUAGCACAGUUCCCUGGUACAUUGUUAUCACGCAAUAAUGUCCCUUUGUCUUGCCUAGUGGCUUGCUUCCAUGAGUCAUUUUCAUGUCACAACGUAGCACUCUAACACAGUCGCAUGUUGCGACACGGUGUCGUGACAGAGAACUUUUGCUCUCAGCCUUGUCUCAUCGCUCCUUAGCAUGCCUGUAACAAGCCAGGCCCUGAGCUUGGAAUCUGGGAAAGGCAGGCACUACGACAGGGGGACGGGCCCUCCUUCCCUCGCAGCGCUGCUCGCUGAUAUUGUGCUCCCUUGUCAGCAGUUUGGGAAGUUCCUAAUCUAGCAUAGAUGGGUACUACUGUGGAUCUUCUCCGAAAAAUAAGAAUCAAAUGACUAAAGAAGUCUUUCAGGGACAAAAGCAAGCUGGUAGCUGAACUUGAUAGCUCAACUUGACAUCCCAUCACUAGGAUGCUGAGCAAAAGUCUGCUCUUGGGAGUUUUCUUCUUUCCAGGUUCCUUCUGCCUUGCCUGUGCUCUUCUGUUGCUUGGAAUAUUUCUGAGUGCAAGGACCUGCUCUGUGAAGCCUACAGAGAAAAUAAAGGCCAAAGGCUCUACCUAAAAAUAAAUCUGUAAUUCAUUUUUCUGCUAGUGCCUGUGGGUGAGAAUAAAACCUCUCAGUGUUCCAACA
This is a long non-coding RNA of Cygnus atratus (black swan), 1035 nucleotides long. RefSeq lists it as uncharacterized. The transcript is spliced from 2 exons. Lineage: Eukaryota; Metazoa; Chordata; Aves; Anseriformes; Anatidae. The record is from RefSeq and is a predicted model, not a curated record.